GGUCAGCUGACACAUCCCUGCCAAUCUCCGGCAGACCCUCCCUCCCAGAUCCUCCCACCUCCUGGACAGCAUCCAUGUUGAAGCUGCCUUCAACAUGGAUGCUGUCCAGGAAGUAGGAGGGUCUGGGAGGGAGGGUCUGCCGGAGAUUGGCAGGGAUGUGUCAGCUG
Molecule: non-coding RNA, 167 nt
Organism: Pelobates cultripes (western spadefoot toad)
Lineage: Eukaryota; Metazoa; Chordata; Amphibia; Anura; Pelobatidae
Source: the annotation of a GenBank genome assembly